UAAUACAGAGGGUGCAAGCGUUAAUCGGAAUUACUGGGCGUAAAGGGCGCGUAGGCGGUUUAGUAAGUUAGAGGUGAAAUCCCCGGGCUUAACCUGGGAAUGGCCUUUAAGACUGUUAGACUAGAGUAGAGUAGAGGGGAGUGGAAUUUCCGGUGUAGCGGUGAAAUGCGUAGAUAUCGGAAAGAACACCAGUGGCGAAGGCGGCUCCCUGGGCUCAUACUGACGUUGAGGCGCGAAAGCAUGGGUAGCAAACAGGAUUAGAUACCCUGGUAGUCCAUGCUGUAAACGAUGAAGACUAGAUGUUGCUGGGAUAACCUGGCAGUAUCGACGCAAACGCACUAAGUCUUCCGCCUGGGGAGUACGGUCGCAAGGCUA
Molecule: ribosomal RNA, 375 nt
Filed under: uncultured bacterium
Lineage: Bacteria
Description: bacterial SSU rRNA
Rfam family: Bacterial small subunit ribosomal RNA
Source: RNAcentral